CUCGUCACUGUCCUCGGGCACGUGGCUGGCGGUCGAGGUCUUUUGCGUCCGGUCCAAGUUUUGCGCUCAUGGAGACGCCAGUACCGGCGACGUGUGGGUCACCAAGCGUUAACAUUGCGUGUGCACUUUGGUUUGUAGGCCCACUUUUUUCCAUCUCAUUCCUUUCUUCGGACGUGCACCCCCAGGUAUGGUGGCUGUAGAAUAUUAUACUUCAGCUUAAACAACAACAGAAAGAAAUAACGGUUGCUUUAUUCAGCGAGCACCAUGCUAAUGCCGAGUGCACCGACUAACAACCAUAACUGUGCCAGGCUAUAGCAGACGACGCUCGGAUGCUUGGCGCGGAGGUCGAUGGCAGUGCUGCUGUGGCGGGAACGGCAGCGGGCUGCAUGGUGCGCAUAGGCGAGGAGUUGGGGUACUUAAAGAGGAUCUAUAACGUUGUUGCGCCGGUCGGCCGAUGUGAUGCUGAUCGUUUGAUCAUAUUUUCGCGGUGCUUAGAGAACAUGUGCUCCUUUUUUGUGUCAAUUAGCGAUCACUAAGCCCUGGGGCCUGUGCAACGCUAUUAGCUCGCUGUAUGUUUCUUGCGGUGCGCUGUUGUUGAUUAUCGUACUGCGGUCAAUUCGCGCUUCUUUGUCCGCGGCUCAUGAGAAGCUGUAUUGUACUCUCGCCGCUCCCGCAUCGGGUCACAGUGCACGGAAGAAUGUGUUGAUAGUUGUGCUAUCGCGUGCUGUAGUUCACCGCAAUUCAACACUACGCUGGACGGACUGUUGGUACAGUCGAUGCAACGUGAACGGACACGCAGGAGCGCUCGCCUCGGAAGGGAUGUCACAAUUUCCUGAGACGGAGGCAUCUCUGCACCACAUAGGAGGCUGCGGCACUAUGCAGCUUGAACAGCACGACAAAGCAUCUGAUCUGCUCCUUUGACAAGGUGUGGCUGGGCCUGCAGAAAGAGUGUAAGCAGGCUACUGUGUUGCUCAUCAGUGCUGAUCUCUACGUCUGAGUUGGCCCCACAACAUCCAGGCACCACUGUGCUUUGCUUCGUGGUCAAGCUGUUUUAAUGCAGGUGUGGCUGGGCCUGCAGAAAAGCUGUAAGCAGACUGCAGUGUUGCUGAUCAGUGCUGAUCUCCACGUCCGAGCUGGUCCCACAACAUCCAGGCACCACUGUGCUUUCACAAGUUUUGUGCAGAUGCAUACGAGCACUGUGGAUACAGAGGCAAGGAGGCUGAAGGACCUGAACAAGCACCUCGCCACCAUGCUUCGGGAUGCAAAAUAAAGAUGGUUUGUGUUAAUUGUGGGCCCUAAAA
Dermacentor albipictus is the source of this 1301-nucleotide long non-coding RNA. RefSeq lists it as uncharacterized. Lineage: Eukaryota; Metazoa; Arthropoda; Arachnida; Ixodida; Ixodidae. The record is from RefSeq and is a predicted model, not a curated record.